RNAcentral lists this long non-coding RNA (270 nucleotides) under Elaeis guineensis (African oil palm). RNAcentral's name for it is "long non-coding RNA (EGUI_LNC012825)". Lineage: Eukaryota; Viridiplantae; Streptophyta; Magnoliopsida; Arecales; Arecaceae. The record is from RNAcentral.
UCAUCACUGAGACAACGAUGGCAUCAUCAUGGAGGGUCUGUAUUCUCUAAACAUCAUCUUCCGAAAAAGAUAUUACAUUAUCAUAUCAUCAUUUCUUUAUCAAUUUUUCUUCGAAAGUUGCCCUCCAAUCCUUCGAUCGUUCAAAAAUUAUAUUGAUCACUCCCACCAUUGGCCAAUUGUUGAUCAUCUCCUCAGCUUGUGGCUGAGACUGUUGGUCGGUGGAAGGUUGAGUCAGGUGAUCUCAUCAGAAUCUCCCAAGAUAGCCACAUC